Molecule: ribosomal RNA, 465 nt
Filed under: Vreelandella stevensii
Lineage: Bacteria; Pseudomonadati; Pseudomonadota; Gammaproteobacteria; Oceanospirillales; Halomonadaceae
Description: partial 16S ribosomal RNA
Rfam family: Bacterial small subunit ribosomal RNA
Source: RNAcentral
CCUACGGGUGGCAGCAGUGGGGAAUAUUGGACAAUGGGCGAAAGCCUGAUCCAGCCAUGCCGCGUGUGUGAAGAAGACCUUCGGGUUGUAAAGCACUUUCAGUGGGGAAGAAAGCCUUGGGGCUAAUACCCUCGAGGAAGGACAUCACCCACAGAAGAAGCACCGGCUAACUCCGUGCCAGCAGCCGCGGUAAUACGGAGGGUGCGAGCGUUAAUCGGAAUUACUGGGCGUAAAGCGCGCGUAGGCGGUCUGAUAAGCCGGUUGUGAAAGCCCCGGGCUCAACCUGGGAACGGCAUCCGGAACUGUCAGGCUAGAGUGCAGGAGAGGAAGGUAGAAUUCCCGGUGUAGCGGUGAAAUGCGUAGAGAUCGGGAGGAAUACCAGUGGCGAAGGCGGCCUUCUGGACUGACACUGACGCUGAGGUGCGAAAGCGUGGGUAGCAAACAGGAUUAGAUACCCCAGUAGUC